Molecule: long non-coding RNA, 1585 nt
Organism: Hemicordylus capensis (graceful crag lizard)
Lineage: Eukaryota; Metazoa; Chordata; Lepidosauria; Squamata; Cordylidae
Exons: 2
Source: RefSeq, a predicted model, not a curated record
CAGCUCUUACGGGUUCUGCUAAGGAGAAGAAACUGCUUGUUGACAGUUUCUUCUCAUUGUCCCAGCCCAUUCGCAAAAAGUGGCCAAGGCACUGAGGAAAGGCUGCCAGCAAGCAAUCGCCUUUCCUCAACCCCCGCCCCCCUUUUGAAAUGCUUCAGGAGUAAGGGUAAGUGGCAUCCUUAGCCUCGCCUCAGGCACAUAAAUAUCAGGGAGCAAAUGGAACCUAACAAUUCACAGCAUGCACCUUGAUGAUGUAAUUAUAGCAUGCCUAAAAUGUAAAAAUAUGGUUUUAUAAAAGAAGCAGAUUCUCUCACAGCAUGGCUACUUACAGAAUAUUUCCUUCUUAAAGAGUAUAAUGAUGACAACCAAUGGGAUCCUCAGUUGUUAAGUAGUUAUAGCAACUGAGUCCCACAUAGCUGAUAAUCCACUUGGAUAAAUCUUAACAGAGAGAGACUCUGCGCUUAAAGGUUCCUUUUAUAAUCCAAGUAAUUCAGCCAGUGCCCAAAGCAUUCUUUUUAUUCGAUAGUAUGCAGACUUCUGAUGCUUCCUAAAAUAAAUGUCUCAGUGAAGCAUGUUUCACUAACAAGCGCUCGAUAUGCACAGCCAUCACUUUCAAAGAGCAACUUGUUUCAAAAAGCUGUGAUCAAUAGCUUCAUAUGAAUGAGAGAAUCAUGACAGGAUGUUAUCAGCAUUGACAGGAAAUCUGUGCCGUUGGUUCUUUCUUAUGAUAAAAUUAUUUGUGAUGAAGCAAUGCCACCAGUGACUGCAGCUUUGGGCUGAGAUCACUUGUAAUCACAAAAGACAUCUGGAUCAUAUUUACCAAUAGAGACAACAGCCACUGGGUAUAAAUGAUCAUUUUUUGAAAUGUAAGGAUUGUUGUAUCUAGACUCCUUUCAUAGUAUAUCAACCAAGCAUGUUUCCGAACUGGAGAAUAUUUCACAGAAGAGUGGUACUACUGAGCAACGAUACCAUUGGAGACAGAUUGGAUACUGUAGAACUCUUCUGACACUGCUGACAUCAAUUCAAAAGAGAUGUAAUAUGGAAUGUAUGCAGAGGCCUUUCCUGUAGCCACUCUGCAGGCACGACUUCCUACAGUAUAAUUUAUAGAACUGAGAUAAACAAGCACAAAAUAAAUGCCUAAUCAAAGAGGGGAUGAACACAUUCAUUUUUGAGCAUGUAUAUCUCUCAUAUUGACAAAAGAUAGAAAUUCAUCAAAAGCAGUGUAUUAAAAUUAAUUUAAUUUAAAAUUAAAAUUAAACUGUUGCUGCUGCCGCCGCCGCUGCCACUGCUUCUAUUACUACUACUGCUACUAUUACUACAUAGAUAAUAUUUUGUAUGGCAUAAUAAAUACAUAUGGUAUUUUGCAGAGUGUGGUGAGCAAAAAAGACAGCUUUGUCCCAACAAGCUUGCAUUGUUUUCACAGUGAGAAAGACAAAAGACAAGAUGAGAUGGUAUGUGGUGAUAUAGAGCUGAAAUAAAUAAAUAAAGUAUGUGCCUCAAGCAUUAACAAUGGCCAAGGGAGAUGGAAGCUGAUGUUUGAACUAGUUAUAUUGUUAAACUGGAAUUAAAGAUGAAUGCAACUUUC